Molecule: microRNA precursor, 76 nt
Organism: Aotus nancymaae (Ma's night monkey)
Lineage: Eukaryota; Metazoa; Chordata; Mammalia; Primates; Aotidae
Source: Ensembl
UGCUACUUCUCCUGAACCAGUCUGAGCCUCAAUCACUUGCCAGAGAGAUUGAUUCAGGAAUUUGUCAGGGAUAGCC